RNAcentral lists this ribosomal RNA (837 nucleotides) under uncultured bacterium. RNAcentral's name for it is "bacterial SSU rRNA". It matches the Rfam family "Bacterial small subunit ribosomal RNA", at positions 57 to 890 of the family's 1533-position model. The record is from RNAcentral.
GCAAGUCGAACGGCAGCACGGGAGCAAUCCUGGUGGCGAGUGGCGAACGGGUGAGUAAUGUAUCGGAACGUGCCCAGUCGUGGGGGAUAACGCAGCGAAAGCUGUGCUAAUACCGCAUACGAUCUAUGGAUGAAAGCGGGGGAUCGCAAGACCUCGCGCGAUUGGAGCGGCCGAUAUCAGAUUAGGUAGUUGGUGGGGUAAAGGCCCACCAAGCCGACGAUCUGUAGCUGGUCUGAGAGGACGACCAGCCACACUGGAACUGAGACACGGUCCAGACUCCUACGGGAGGCAGCAGUGGGGAAUUUUGGACAAUGGGCGCAAGCCUGAUCCAGCAAUGCCGCGUGCAGGAUGAAGGCCUUCGGGUUGUAAACUGCUUUUGUACGGAGCGAAAAGGUUCUCUCUAAUACAGGGAGCUCAUGACGGUACCGUAAGAAUAAGCACCGGCUAACUACGUGCCAGCAGCCGCGGUAAUACGUAGGGUGCGAGCGUUAAUCGGAAUUACUGGGCGUAAAGCGUGCGCAGGCGGUUAUAUAAGACAGAUGUGAAAUCCCCGGGCUCAACCUGGGACCUGCAUUUGUGACUGUAUAGCUAGAGUACGGUAGAGGGGGAUGGAAUUCCGCGUGUAGCAGUGAAAUGCGUAGAUAUGCGGAGGAACACCGAUGGCGAAGGCAAUCCCCUGGACCUGUACUGACGCUCAUGCACGAAAGCGUGGGGAGCAAACAGGAUUAGAUACCCUGGUAGUCCACGCCCUAAACGAUGUCAACUGGUUGUUGGGUCUUCACUGACUCAGUAACGAAGCUAACGCGUGAAGUUGACCGCCUGGGGAGUACGGCCGCA